GAUGAACGCUGGCGGUAUGCUUAACACAUGCAAGUCGAACGGACUCUUCGGAGUUAGUGGCGGACGGGUGAGUAACGCGUGAGAAUCUGGCUUUGGGUUCGGGACAACCACUGGAAACGGUGGCUAAUACCGGAUGUGCCGAGAGGUAAAAGAGAAAUUGCCUGAAGAUGAGCUCGCGUCUGAUUAGCUAGUUGGUGAGGUAAAGGCUCACCAAGGCAGCGAUCAGUAGCUGGUCUGAGAGGAUGACCAGCCACACUGGGACUGAGACACGGCCCAGACUCCUCCGGGAGGCAGCAGUGGGGAAUUUUCCGCAAUGGGCGAAAGCGUGACGGAGCAAUACCGCGUGAGGGAAGAAGGCUCUUGGGUUGUAAACCUCUUUUCUUAGGGAAGAACAAAAUGACGGUACCUAAGGAAUCAGCAUCGGCUAACUCCGUG
Molecule: ribosomal RNA, 435 nt
Filed under: uncultured bacterium
Lineage: Bacteria
Description: partial 16S ribosomal RNA
Rfam family: Bacterial small subunit ribosomal RNA
Source: RNAcentral